RNAcentral lists this ribosomal RNA (511 nucleotides) under uncultured bacterium. Its description in RNAcentral is "partial 16S ribosomal RNA". It matches the Rfam family "Bacterial small subunit ribosomal RNA", at positions 28 to 507 of the family's 1533-position model. The record is from RNAcentral.
GACGAACGCUGGCGGCAUGCCUAACACAUGCAAGUCGAACGGACAGAACAGGGUAGCUUUUCGGAGUGGAAUUGGGAACUUAUGGGUGGAAGGUGGGGUAACUCCUGGACAACCUACCAUGUAAAGCGGAAUAACCUCGAGAAAUCGAAGCUAAUAUCCCAUAAUAACCUUGCUUCGCGUGAAGUGAGGAGGAAAGGCGGCCUUAGCGCGGGCGAUAUCAGAUGGUUGCGGGUCUGAUUAGCUAGUUGGUGAGGUAAAGGCUGACCAAGGCGACGAGCAGUAGCCGGCCUGAGCGGGUGAGCGGCCACACUGGGACUGAGAGACGGCCAAAAGUCCUACGGGAGGACGCAGUGGGGAAUCGUCCGCAAUGGGAGAAUGCCUGACGGAGCAAUGCCGCGUGAGUGCAGGAGGCCUUCGGGUUGUAAAGCUCUGUCCUUAUCGAGGAGAGGGUGUUGUAGUAAUUGACAAUACUAGGACGGUAGUUGGUAAGGAAGCCCCGGCUAACUAUGUG